AUACUCUGGUUUCUCUUCAGAUCGUAUAAAUCUUUCACCUUUUACUAAAGAUUUCCAUGAAGUUCUGGUUGAAUUCUAAGCCUAAUUUACCUGGCCCUGGGCUUCAUUUAGCUUGG
Meriones unguiculatus (Mongolian gerbil) is the source of this 116-nucleotide small nuclear RNA. RefSeq annotates it as U5 spliceosomal RNA. The transcript has a single exon. NCBI's taxonomy places the organism in Eukaryota, Metazoa, Chordata, Mammalia, Rodentia, Muridae. The record is from RefSeq and is a predicted model, not a curated record.